GGGAACAUACCCUUUUCUACGGAAUAGCUCUGGGAAACUGGAAUUAAUACCGUAUACGCCCUACGGGGGAAAGAUUUAUCGGGGAAGGAUUGGCCCGCGUUGGAUUAGCUAGUUGGUGGGGUAAAGGCCUACCAAGGCGACGAUCCAUAGCUGGUCUGAGAGGAUGAUCAGCCACAUUGGGACUGAGACACGGCCCAAACUCCUACGGGAGGCAGCAGUGGGGAAUAUUGGACAAUGGGCGCAAGCCUGAUCCAGCCAUGCCGCGUGAGUGAUGAAGGCCUUAGGGUUGUAAAGCUCUUUCACCGAUGAAGAUAAUGACGGUAGUCGGAGAAGAAGCCCCGACUAACUUCGUGCCAGCAGCCGCGGUAAUACGAAGGGGGCUAGCGUUGUUCGGAAUUACUGGGCGUAAAGCGCACGUAGGCGGAUAUUUAAGUCAGGGGUGAAAUCCCAGAGCUCAACUCUGGAACUGCCUUUGAUACUGGGUAUCUUGAGUAUGGAAGAGGUAAGUGGAAUUGCGAGU
Molecule: ribosomal RNA, 520 nt
Filed under: uncultured bacterium
Lineage: Bacteria
Description: bacterial SSU rRNA
Rfam family: Bacterial small subunit ribosomal RNA
Source: RNAcentral